UUAACGCUAGCGGCAGGCCUAAUACAUGCAAGUCGAACGGGAUUGGCUGUAGCAAUACGACCAUGAGAGUGGCGCACGGGUGCGUAACACGUAUGCAACCUACCUGUAACUGGGGGAUAGCCUCCCGAAAGGGAGAUUAAUACCGCAUAACAUUGCGAAGUGGCAUCACUUUGCAAUUAAACCUCCGGGGGUUACAGAUGGGCAUGCGUCCGAUUAGCUAGUUGGUGAGGUAACGGCUCACCAAGGCUCCGAUCGGUAGGGGGUCUGAGAGGAUGAUCCCCCACACUGGUACUGAGACACGGACCAGACUCCUACGGGAGGCAGCAGUAAGGAAUAUUGGACAAUGGGCGAAAGCCUGAUCCAGCCAUGCCGCGUGUGUGAAGAAGGUCUUCGGAUUGUAAAGCACUUUAAGUUGGGAGGAAGGGCAUUAACCUAAUACGUUAGUGUUUUGACGUUACCGACAGAAUAAGCACCGGCUAACUCUGCGCCAGCAG
This 494-nucleotide ribosomal RNA is filed under the name uncultured bacterium. RNAcentral's name for it is "bacterial SSU rRNA". It matches the Rfam family "Bacterial small subunit ribosomal RNA", at positions 32 to 514 of the family's 1533-position model. The record is from RNAcentral.